UUAAGUAAGUAGCUGCCUGAGUAAACUGCUUAAAGAAGAACUGGUGGUUGCGGUUGCGUCUUUCUUGCUGGUGGAGUGGGACGCGACAAAUGGUGCUGAAGAAACCCAGGACCUGAAUCCCCCACUGAAGAGGUUCAGAACUUUCUGCAGUCAGGGUCUGUCCACAGAAUGAGUACAGCAAGAAGUCACUGACAGAGACAAUGCAGCUUCUCCUGAUGAACGUGCUGACACCAAUCACUGCACACUGACCAGUUUCUAUCAGCAUGGGAGCCCAGUCCUUGAUACCUACCACAAAGGAAUCCUUCCUGCAUGCCAUAGUUGAGCACCACUCCAAAUACAUAGUGACUAUAAGAAAGCAGGCUAUGCAAGCCAUGAGGAGUAAGCAGCACUCCUCCAU
Molecule: long non-coding RNA, 397 nt
Organism: Mus musculus (house mouse)
Lineage: Eukaryota; Metazoa; Chordata; Mammalia; Rodentia; Muridae
Product: predicted gene, 54087
Exons: 3
Source: RefSeq, a predicted model, not a curated record